UAUUACAACGUUAACAGCUAAAACUGUAAUGCCAAUUACGUGAUUAAGACGGUUAGCGAUGCAUAAUAUCAUCAUGAUGUAAUAUAUGAAAAAAGAGAGAAAAAACGCUCGAGUUCAAAUAAACGGUAUCGUGAAGACUUUCAUGAAUCCAUGCUAUAGCGAGUUACUAAGGCACAAAUUAUGAUUUACUCGUCAUGUAUAUUCUUCUUUCGUCACAUACUCGAUCAAUAUCAGAGAGGUGGAAAGCGUUAUAAAAGCUGAUGUUUUUAUUAUUGUGUAUCUAGAAGUCUCGUCGGAACCUCACCGCGAAGUUUUAAUCGAGUAUCCAAGAAACCAACGACUCAUGAUGAAUCGAAGCUUAUUACUGUUCGCGGUAUUGCUAGUUCUACUAACCACCGACACAUCCUCUCAGAUGUUUU
Molecule: long non-coding RNA, 419 nt
Organism: Trachymyrmex septentrionalis
Lineage: Eukaryota; Metazoa; Arthropoda; Insecta; Hymenoptera; Formicidae
Exons: 2
Source: RefSeq, a predicted model, not a curated record